This 64-nucleotide non-coding RNA is filed under the name Pongo pygmaeus (Bornean orangutan). Lineage: Eukaryota; Metazoa; Chordata; Mammalia; Primates; Hominidae. The record is from RNAcentral.
CAGGACCACGGUUCUGCAUGGUGCCUUGCCUCGGCUGGAGCCUAGCAGCCGACUUAGAACUGGU